Long non-coding RNA from Papaver somniferum (opium poppy), 235 nucleotides. RefSeq lists it as uncharacterized. The record is from RefSeq and is a predicted model, not a curated record. The transcript has 3 exons. Lineage: Eukaryota; Viridiplantae; Streptophyta; Magnoliopsida; Ranunculales; Papaveraceae.
CGGGUAUCUGGGACUUCGAUUUAUUUUGAAUCGAUGCCCUACCGUCUUGAUGAAUCAACAGAUUCUGUUGGGGCUUUUCUCAUGAUGGAUAUGGCUCACAUAAGUGGUCUCGUUACUGCAUCUGUACUUUCCGACCCAUUUGAAUACUGUGAUGUUGUAACAACCACCACUCACAAGUCAUUACGAGGUCCCAGAGGUGGCAUGAUUUUCUUCAAGAAAGAUCCUGUUCUUUGGG